RNAcentral lists this ribosomal RNA (460 nucleotides) under uncultured bacterium. RNAcentral's name for it is "partial 16S ribosomal RNA". It matches the Rfam family "Bacterial small subunit ribosomal RNA", at positions 338 to 795 of the family's 1533-position model. The record is from RNAcentral.
CCUACGGGAGGCAGCAGUGAGGAAUAUUGGUCAAUGGGCGGAAGCCUGAACCAGCCAAGUAGCGUGCAGGAUGACGGCCCUACGGGUUGUAAACUGCUUUUAUACGGGAAUAACGCGCCUUACGUGUAGGGCUUUGCAUGUACCGUAUGAAUAAGGACCGGCUAAUUCCGUGCCAGCAGCCGCGGUAAUACGGGAGGUCCGGGCGUUAUCCGGAUUUAUUGGGUUUAAGGGGAGCGUAGGCCGCAUGUCAAGCGUGCUGUGAAAUGUCCGGGCUCAACCCGGGCCUUGCAGCGCGAACUGGCGGGCUUGAGUCCGCGGAAGGCAGGCGGAAUUCGUCGUGUAGCGGUGAAAUGCGUAGAUAUGACGAAGAACCCCGAUGGCGAAGGCAGAUUGCUGGAGCGGAACUGACGCUGAUGCUCGAAAGCGAGGGUAUCGAACAGGAUUAGAUACCCUUGUAGUC